Zingiber officinale is the source of this 487-nucleotide long non-coding RNA. RefSeq lists it as uncharacterized. The record is from RefSeq and is a predicted model, not a curated record. Lineage: Eukaryota; Viridiplantae; Streptophyta; Magnoliopsida; Zingiberales; Zingiberaceae. The transcript has 3 exons.
UCAAUAUCAAGUUUUAAGAUGCAACAUCUCUACCUACUCUUUUCGAAGGAUCAUCAUUACUUUUUCAGUGUUCUUAUGUACCUUUAAUAGUGUUUAGAAUAAAAGGAAACAAAAUUGAAAAAUAAUUCUACAUAAUUGAUGCUCAAGGUGAUCAAAUUUUUUCUUUAUUCACAAUUUUUGUUUUGAAAGUCUGGUUGAUUACGCAUAUUGUUUGAUUAGAUUAUAGUUUUAAAUUUGAUGGAAUGCUUGCCUUUAUGCACAGAGACUAUGCUUUGCAUCGGAAGUUAAUGGCAUCGUUAUCCUUCUUCAUUUUUUAUGCCUUCGUACAUUAAGGAAGUUCAAUGGAUAAAUGAAGGAUUUAGGGAGAACUUAUUGGUAACCAAGGACUUUGUGAAGAUAGCAAAUUUUGGCCUUGCUUGUGAAGUUCAUUCGAAGCCACCAUUCACAGAAUAGGUUUCAACACGCUGUUUACAAAUCUCAAGUACUC